GGUCGGGCCGGUGCAGUGCGUCGGUCGGACAGCGGGUCAGGAUCGGAAGGUAGCAGCCCACCCGGUUUGAUCCACGUGCAUCGAAAACCUGGCUGGG
This 97-nucleotide signal recognition particle RNA is filed under the name Phycisphaerae bacterium RAS1. RNAcentral's name for it is "Bacterial small signal recognition particle RNA". It matches the Rfam family "Bacterial small signal recognition particle RNA". From Rfam's summary of the family: The signal recognition particle (SRP) is a universally conserved ribonucleoprotein involved in the co-translational targeting of proteins to membranes. Archaeal SRP consists of a 7S RNA and homologues of the eukaryotic SRP19 and SRP54 proteins. Lineage: Bacteria; Pseudomonadati; Planctomycetota; Phycisphaerae. The record is from Rfam by way of RNAcentral.